GCCUGCGGCCACACCGCCUUGAAUAAGCCUGAUCUCGUCUAAUCUCAGCAGCAAAGCAACGUUGGGCUUGGUUAGUACUGGGAUGGGAUACCACCUGGGAAUAUCAAGUGCUGUAGGCAUU
RNAcentral lists this ribosomal RNA (121 nucleotides) under Acipenser sinensis (Chinese sturgeon). The record is from RNAcentral. Lineage: Eukaryota; Metazoa; Chordata; Actinopteri; Acipenseriformes; Acipenseridae.